UGAUUUUUCAGUCUCAAUCCUAAUCCGAAGCUUGGCAAUCUUGCUUGUGUAGGCAUCUAUUUAAUUAUGACCCAAAUUUUAUGAAGAAGAAAGAAAAGAAAAACAUCAAAAGGGCAGAAAAUGCAGCUACUUUGAGACUUGAUAUUGGAUUGGAUGGGCUAUGUGAAUUCAUGUUUAAAGUUAUAGCUCUCUUUAAAUUGUAAUUAAUUACAAACUGCUUCUAAAAUUCAAGGAGGAAAAAACUCCAUGUAAUUAACCAAUCUCAUUUCUUGAUUGGUGAAGCUAGAAAAUUUAUGAGUUCAAAUCAAACCUAACACACCCAUCUCUCAGAAAAAUAAAAAAAGAAGAAGGGAAGCAACCAAGAAGAUAUAUUUCCAAUCCCUUGAAGGAUUCCAUCUCUGUUCAUGUAUAUAUAUAUAAACUCUUGGGAUGAGUAAGCCUUUUCCUUUCAAGAAUCUCGAUGUUUAUGCCAGCAAACAAGCAUGGCAACGCAGCGCCUCAUGAUAUAGAAUCUUGCCUUCUGUUCUUUAGCUAAGCUACUACAUUUGCGAGUAAUGGAAGAGUUCUUCUGAGAGUAACUCCUUGGAAGAGGGCACUUGUUGCUUGGAGAAGAGCAUUUAAGGGAAGAGCUUCUCAAGAGAGGAGACUUUGAAGAUGAACUCUUGGUAGAAAAACUCCUAACAAAAGAAGAAGAUGAACCUUCUUUCUUUGAUGGCUUCCACUUCUCAUCCAUGUAAAAAAGACCAAGAAAGAAAUUAAGGCCAAUGAUAUGAUACUUCUUUGUGUGUAUGAUCUGAGAGAGAGAGAGAGAGAG
RNAcentral lists this unclassified non-coding RNA (814 nucleotides) under Hevea brasiliensis (rubber tree). The record is from RNAcentral. Lineage: Eukaryota; Viridiplantae; Streptophyta; Magnoliopsida; Malpighiales; Euphorbiaceae.